This 241-nucleotide long non-coding RNA is filed under the name Elaeis guineensis (African oil palm). Its description in RNAcentral is "long non-coding RNA (EGUI_LNC067623)". The record is from RNAcentral. Lineage: Eukaryota; Viridiplantae; Streptophyta; Magnoliopsida; Arecales; Arecaceae.
AGGAUCAUUAUGAGGGCGAUGAUAGAUCUAGAUAGACUGGCACACAAAUCAUUUUCUUCGGGAUAGAUGGGUCUCUAAUCUACUGUGUGGUGACACAGGAUGAUAAGUAUGGGUGGUUGUUAGAGAACAACUAGCACUGAGCGUGAUCAUACGAGAGAUCACUUGAAUUUCUAUUCAAUCAUCAGUGAUUGUUUCGAUGCUGUAGUUGUGUGAUUGAUCUUUUGACUUGAGAUGGUACUGC